CCAACAGGGAUUGCCCCAGUAGCGGCGAGUGAAGCGGCAAAAGCUCAGAUUUGGAAUCGCUUCGGCGAGUUGUGAAUUGCAGGUUGGCGCCUCUGCGGCGGCGGCGGUCCAAGUCCCUUGGAACAGGGCGCCAUUGAGGGUGAGAGCCCCGUGGGACCGUUUGCCUAUGCUCUGAGGCCCUUCUGACGAGUCGAGUUGUUUGGGAAUGCAGCUCUAAGCGGGUGGUAAAUUCCAUUUAAGGCUAAAUACUGGCGAGAGACCGAUAGCGAACAAGUACUGUGAAGGAAAGAUGAAAAGCACUUUGAAAAGAGAGUGAAACAGCACGUGAAAUUGUUGAAAGGGAAGGGUAUUGCGCCCGACAUGGAGCGUGCGCACCGCUGCCCCUCGUGGGCGGCGCUCUGGGCGUGCUCUGGGCCAGCAUCGGUUUUUGCCGCGGGAGAAGGGCGGCGGG
Molecule: ribosomal RNA, 451 nt
Filed under: Pichia sp.
Lineage: Eukaryota; Fungi; Ascomycota; Pichiomycetes; Pichiales; Pichiaceae
Description: LSU rRNA
Rfam family: Eukaryotic large subunit ribosomal RNA
Source: RNAcentral